GCUUGACACUGAACAUUGAGCCUUGAUGUGUAGGAUAGGUGGGAGGCUUUGAAGCGUGGACGCCAGUCUGCGUGGAGCCAACCUUGAAAUACCACCCUUUAAUGUUUGAUGUUCUAACGUUGGCCCCUGACCGGGGUUGCGGACAGUGUCUGGUGGGUAGUUUGACUGGGGCGGUCUCCUCCCAAAGCGUAACGGAGGAGCACGAAGGUUAGCUAAUCCUGGUCGGACAUCAGGAGGUUAGUGCAAUGGCAUAAGCUAGCUUGACUGCGAGCGUGACGGCGCGAGCAGGUGCGAAAGCAGGUCAUAGUGAUCCGGUGGUUCUGAAUGGAAGGGCCAUCGCUCAACGGAUAAAAGGUACUCCGGGGAUAACAGGCUGAUACCGCCCAAGAGUUCAUAUCGACGGCGGUGUUUGGCACCUCGAUGUCGGCUCAUCACAUCCUGGGGCUGAAGUAGGUCCCAAGGGUAUGGCUGUUCGCCAUUUAAAGUGGUACGCGAGCUGGGUUUAGAACGUCGUGAGACAGUUCGGUCCCUAUCUGCCGUGGGCGCUGGAGAAUUGAGGGGGGCUGCUCCUAGUACGAGAGGACCGGAGUGGACGCAUCACUGGUGUUCGGGUUGUCAUGCCAAUGGCACUGCCCGGUAGCUAAAUGCGGAAGAGAUAAGUGCUGAAAGCAUCUAAGCACGAAACUUGCCCCGAGAUGAGUUCUCCCUGAGACUU
This 715-nucleotide ribosomal RNA is filed under the name Klebsiella pneumoniae. Its description in RNAcentral is "partial 23S ribosomal RNA". It matches the Rfam family "Bacterial large subunit ribosomal RNA", at positions 2109 to 2823 of the family's 2925-position model. The record is from RNAcentral. Lineage: Bacteria; Pseudomonadati; Pseudomonadota; Gammaproteobacteria; Enterobacterales; Enterobacteriaceae.